GACGAACGCUGGCGGCGGGCUUAACACAUGCAAGUCGAACGGAAAGGCCCUGCUUUUGUGGGGUGCUCGAGUGGCGAACGGGUGAGUAACACGUGAGUAACCUGCCCUUGACUUUGGGAUAACUUCAGGAAACUGGGGCUAAUACCGGAUAGGAGCUCCCGCUGCAUGGUGGGGGUGGGAAAGUUUCGGCGGUUGGGGAUGGACUCGCGGCUUAUCAGCUUGCUGGUGGGGGAGUGGCUUACCAAGGCUUUGACGGGUAGCCGGCCUGAGAGGGUGACCGGCCACAUUGGGCCUGAGAUACGGCCCAGACUCCUACGGGAGGCAGUAGUGGGGAAUAUUGCACAAUGGUCGGAAGCCUGAUGCAGCAACGCCGCGUGCGGGAUGACGGCCUUCGGGUUGUAAACCGCUUUCGCCUGUGACGAAGCGUGAGUGACGGUAAUGGGUAAAGAAGCACCGGCUAACUACGUG
Molecule: ribosomal RNA, 468 nt
Filed under: uncultured bacterium
Lineage: Bacteria
Description: partial 16S ribosomal RNA
Rfam family: Bacterial small subunit ribosomal RNA
Source: RNAcentral